RNAcentral lists this unclassified non-coding RNA (284 nucleotides) under Hevea brasiliensis (rubber tree). Lineage: Eukaryota; Viridiplantae; Streptophyta; Magnoliopsida; Malpighiales; Euphorbiaceae. The record is from RNAcentral.
CUCGAUUCUUGGAAAAAACAAUCAAGAAUUGACAAAAAAGAUUAGCGGAGAAAAUAAGAAAGAAUCAAUUGGUCAGAUAAAGGCAAUGACUUUUCAAAAUAUUGGGAAGUUUCUUCGAAAGUUCUUGUUGCACCUGCGAUUGUCAGUUGAAUUUUUUAACAUUUUCUUGAUUAUUUUUAAGAUAAGAGUUGUCCAGUAAUGGUAUGUCCACCAACCCAAAAUAUAAAAUUUGUAAAACAGAGAAGAAAAUACCGCAUUUGUAGCCUGUGUUCCAUAGAAUGCGG